This 7831-nucleotide long non-coding RNA is filed under the name Daucus carota (carrot). RNAcentral's name for it is "long non-coding RNA (DCAR_LNC005456)". Lineage: Eukaryota; Viridiplantae; Streptophyta; Magnoliopsida; Apiales; Apiaceae. The record is from RNAcentral.
UACUUAUUCGCUGUUGAUGUUUUUAAUAUUUAAAUGAUGAUUUGAUUUUGGAAUGGUAUUUUAUUGAUGAAAAACGAGUAUUCUUGCAUUGAUAUUUGAUGAACUGAUGAUGAUGCUUCCUUAUUGGAAGUAAAGCUAAACCGAUUGUUUAGCUGGCCGGGAUCCCAACUUGACGAAUUGAUGAACUAAUCAUGCUUGAAUACUCGGUUUUAAUCUUAUGUGAACUAUUUUGCUGUGAUGAACCUUUGAUGAUAUUGAUAAAUUCUUGAUGAUUAUUUUAUCGAAAGAUUGUUUUAGUUUCUUGGAUAAACCUCAGUUGAAUCGUACAAUAUAUGCUUACUGAGCUUUAUGAGCUCACUCUUUUAUGUCACUAACUUUCUCAGGAAAGAAUUUUGGAGAAGGAUGUUCUGGAAAGGAUAAGAAUGUGAUGAACUAAGGUUUUAGUGACAACGAGAGGCUUGUAGCAAGUAAAGGAAGAUGCUAGUGUAAUAUGCUUGUGUUUGUGUUUGAGUUAGGAGCUUAUGAUGUAAUCUUUUGUUACGAACUUGAAAACGUUGUAAGAACUUUAUAUUAUUAAGUGUUGUUAAGGUUGUGUAAGCAUAUAUUGAGUUGGUUAGUUUGUUUGGCAUCCCCGGGUCGGGUUUCUGAGGUCAUCCCGGGCCGGGGGCGCCACAGGUGGUAUCAGAGCUAUAGGUUCGAGUAUCGGCGAAAGUAGAAUUAAGAUUCUAGACUGGUGUGUUUUUAAGUUAGGAGAAUAUGUCUAAGGGAUAUGUGGACCUUAGUUGUGAAUGUGUGGAAUAAACUAUAUGUUUAGUACUUACUAUAGUGCUAGUAUGAUUUGUGGAUUAGAACAGAGUUCUAAUAUAUAUUAUAUGAUUUUUAGGUAACAAUGAAUGAAGACAAUAGUAGUGGAGCUGGGCCUAGCAUUCAAAUUAGUCCUGAGAUGAUGUUGGUUUUGGAGGAAAUGAGAUAUAUGUUGAAGACUAUUAGGGGAGAUCAAGAAAAUGCGAAUACAAUUAAGGUAAACACUGAUCGUGUGGAAGAACAAGAUCGUAUAAAUAAUCCGGAGCGACAAGGUGAGAAUAAACGAAGGUGUACUUACAAGACCUUUAAGGAUGCUGAUCCCCCGAUAUUUAAAGGAGAUUUGGAUCCGCAUAUUGCGAAUACGUGGAUUAAGGAAAUGGAGAAAGUGAUAGAAAUUUCUGAAUGCUUGGAUGAACAAAAAGUGAAAUUCGCAACACACUCUUUAAGGGGGGAAGCAGUAUUUUGGUGGGACACUAUUAAACAAACAGAAGAUUGUUCAACGAUGACUUGGAUGAGGUUUAAGGAGUUGUUCUUUGAUAAAUAUUUCCCUACGUGUAUGGAAAAUGAGAUGGAGAGGAUAUAAGAAGGAUGACAAGAAGUUUCAGAAGACAAAGAAAGAGAGUUUCCGGGGAAAUGAUAGGAAGACCACUAUACCGGAGUGUAAGAAGUGUGGACUGAAGCAUGGUGGUGACAUUUGUUACCGAGCAGAUGGGUUGUGCUAUAAUUGUGGAGAGAAGGGGCAUAUAGCGACUCAAUGCCCAAAGCCGAAAGUAAUUAAAUUAGAGAAAGGGUCUCUUUGUUGGAACUAGAGCAAUUUGAUAAGUUGGUGGGAAAAGCUAGGAUUGCCGAAAGGGAGUAUGAAGCUCGCACCCAAUUCUUCAACAAUAAGAAAAGAGGAAGAGAAACAGAACUGCGUGAUAAUUCAGGAUAUAAGAAGGAUGACAAGAAGUUUCAGAAGACAAAGAAAGAGAGUUUCCGGGGAAAUGAUAGGAAGACCACUAUACCGGAGUGUAAGAAGUGUGGACUGAAGCAUGGUGGUGACAUUUGUUACCGAGCAGAUGGGUUGUGCUAUAAUUGUGGAGAGAAGGGGCAUAUAGCGACUCAAUGCCCAAAGCCGAAAGUAAUUUCUUGCUAUAGCUGCGGAAAACCAGGACAUGUAUCGAGGGACUGCCCACAGAAAGGAGUCAAGCAAGAAGUUGAAACUAAAGGAAAUAGGACUUCUACAACAAGACCUUUUCAGCAAUCAGCACCUAGGGCAGUGGCAAGAACCUACGCAAUGACAACUCAGGAUGCUGAAAAAUCUCAUGAUGUUGUGUCAGGUACGCUUCAACUUUGUUCUCAAGAUGUGCAUGUUUUGUUUGAUUCUGGAUCAACUCAUUCUUUUGUGGAUUUGAAGUAUGUGGAUAAGUUGAAUACUCCUGCGCAAAGUUUAGAUAAUGCCCUACUAGUAAAACUCCCUAAUGGUAGAAAUUUGUUUGUGAACAAAGUUUAUAAAAAUUGCACCCUUGUAAUUAGCGGACAUACUUUUAUAGUAGACUUGUUACCUUUAGACUUAAGGGAUUUUGGAGUGAUUUUGGGAAUGGAUUGGUUGACGAAGUAUAAAGCCAAUUUGGAUUGUAGUAAAAAGCGAAUAUGUUUAAGGAGGCUAGAUAAAAAGAAGGUUUAUUUUAAAGGAGACAGGUCGGAAAAACCUAGUGUCAUGAUAUCAGUUCUGGAAGCUUAUAAGAUGUUAAGAAAAGGAUGUGAAGGGUUUCUAGCUUAUGUGAUUGGUGAGGAGGAAGUUAAAAAUAAAGUUGAGAAUACCCAUGUGGUUAGAGAGUUUCUAGAUGUUUUUCCCGAGAAUUUGCCAGGAUUGCCACCCGAAAGAGAGGUUGAGUUUAGUAUUGAAUUGGUUCCGGAGGCGCAACCAGUAUCGAAAGCACCAUAUAGAAUGGCACCAACCGAGUUAGCAGAACUUAAGGUACAGUUACAAGAAUUGUUGGAUAAAAAGUAUAUUAGACCAAGUGUUUCUUCUUGGGGAGCACCGGUGUUGUUUGUGAAAAAGAAGGAUGGUUCUCUACGAUUAUGUAUUGAUUAUAGAGAAUUGAAUAAGUUGACUGUAAAGAAUAAGUACCCACUUCCGCGAAUAGACGAUCUUUUUGAUCAAUUACAAGGAGCCACUUACUUUUCAAAGAUAGAUUUGCGCUCAGGUUAUCAUCAAUUGAGAGUGAAGAAAGAAAGCAUUCCAUUGACGGCGUUUAGGACUCGAUAUGGUCAUUAUGAGUUUGUAGUAAUGCCGUUUGGGGUGACAAAUGCACCUGCGGUAUUUAUGGAUUUAAUGAAUCGAGUAUUUAAGAAUUAUUUGGAUAAGUUUGUAAUUGUGUUUAUCGACGAUAUUCUUAUUUACUCAAGGACUGAGCAGGAACAUGAAGAACAUUUGAGGAUGGUCUUGGAAACUUUGAGGAAAGAACAGUUGUAUGCUAAGUUUUCAAAAUGUGAGUUUUGGUUAAGGAGGGUAAGUUUUCUUGGACAUGUAGUUUCAGAAGAGGGGAUUUCGGUUGAUCCUUCAAAGAUUGAGGUGAUCAUGAAUUGGGAGAGACCAAGGACGGUGACAGAGAUUCGAAGUUUCUUAGGUUUGGCCGGGUAUUAUAGGAAGUUUGUUCAAGAUUUCUCUAAGAUAGCUGGACCAUUAACAAAUCUCACAAGGAAAGACGUUAAGUUUGUUUGGUCGGAGGAAUGUGAGAAAAGUUUUAUUGAAUUAAAGAAAAGACUAACGUCUGCUCCAGUACUUGGAUUACCAGAUGGAACUGAAGAUUUUGUUAUUUAUAGUGAUGCGUCAAGAAAAGGAUUAGGAUGUGUGUUAAUGCAACGUGAUAAGGUAAUUGCUUAUGCAUCUCGACAAUUAAGAAAUCAUGAGAAGAAUUACCCUACCCACGAUUUAGAAUUGGCUGCAGUAGUUUUCGCGCUUAAAAUUUGGAGGCAUUACUUGUAUGGAGGAAAGUGUAAAAUUUUUACAGAUCAUCAAAGUUUAAAGUACCUCUUUUCAAAGAGAGAUUUAAAUAUGAGGCAGAGAAGAUGGCUGGAAUUGUUAAAGGAUUAUGAUUGUGAAAUUUUAUAUCACCCUGGUAAGGCGAAUGUUGUAGCUGAUGCGUUAAGUAGGAAGGAAGUCGGGAAUUGUGCGAGUGUCGUAGUAGAAUCACUGGAUGUUAAAGAAGAAAGAUUUGGAGUGGGGUUUGAUAUGCAAAAGAAGGAUGAGAGCUUACUGUGUCAGAUUAAGGUCAAACCGAUGUUUUUAGAAAAGUUAAAGGCAAGUCAGAUUCAAGAUGAACGAUUAAAGGAAAUUCUGAAUAAUUCUAAUUCAGAGUCGGGAAAGAAAGAUUUUAGGAAAGGAAACGACGACAUCGUGAGGUUUCGCGAUCGAAUAUGUGUACCAUCUGAUAUAGAGAUUAAGAAGGAAAUAUUGUCUGACGCACAUUCAUCAUCUUUUUCAGUACAUCCUGGAUCUACGAAGAUGUAUAAGGACUUAAAGCAAUAUUUUUGGUGGCCUAAGAUGAAGAGAGAAAUUGCGGAAUGGGUGGCAAGAUGUUUAGUUUGUCAACAAGUGAAAGCGGAGCAUCAAAGGCCAGGAGGAUUAUUACAAUCGCUACCUGUCCCUGAAUGGAAAUGGGAACACAUCACCAUGGAUUUUGUAUUAGGAUUGCCAAGGACACAAAGAGGAAAUGAUGUCAUCUGGGUUAUCGUGGAUAGACUAACAAAGAGUGCGCACUUUCUGGCUAUAUCAGAAUCAUCACCUCUAGAGAAGUUAGCAAAGUUGUAUAUACGAGAAAUAGUUAGGUUGCAUGGAGUACCUGUGUCGAUUGUGUCUGACAGAGAUCCUAGAUUUACUUCGAGAUUUUGGAAUAGUUUUCAAGAAGAAAUGGGUACAAAACUAAGUAUGAGCACGGCAUUUCACCCUCAGACUGAUGGUCAAUCAGAACGUACGAUUCAAAUUUUAGAAGACAUGUUAAGAGCUUGUGUAUUGGACUUUAAAGGAAGUUGGGAAGAACAUUUACCUUUAGUAGAAUUUGCAUAUAAUAAUAGUUAUCAAGCGACAAUUGGAAUGGCUCCAUAUGAAGCUCUUUAUGGACGUCGAUGUAGAACACCGUUAUGUUGGGAUGAAGUUGGAGAAAGAAGAUUGUUGGGGCCUGAGUUGAUUCGUGUAACUACGGAGAAGGUAAAGUUGAUACAACAGAGGAUUUUAACGGCUCAAAGUAGGCAAAAGAGUUAUGCAGACAAGGAUCGGCGAGAUGUGGUGUUUAAGGAGGGAGAUUUUGUAUUUCUCAAAAUUUCUCCAUGGAAGGGUGUUAUGAGAUUCGGGAAGAAGGGAAAAUUAAGUCCUCGUUAUAUUGGGCCAUUUGAGGUUCUUAGAAGAAUUGGAGAAGUGGCAUAUGAGCUAGCACUACCACCAAGUCUUGGACAUAUUCAUAACGUAUUUCACGUGUCAUAUUUGCGAAAGUAUGUCUCAGAUCCAUCGCAUAUUAUAGAUUAUGAACCAAUAGAAAUUCAGGAAAAUAUGCAGUACGAAGAACACCCAGUUGAAAUAGCAGAUCGUCGCGAGCAGAAGUUGAGAACUAAGAUCAUACCUUUAGUGAAAGUUAUUUGGAGAAAUCAUAAUGUGGAGGAGGCAACUUGGGAACCCGAGGAAAUGAUGAGGACAAAGUAUCCCCAUUUAUUCGAUAAGUCAGGUAUGAUUUAAAUUUCGAGGGCGAAAUUCUUUUAAGGGGGGAAGGAUGUAAUACCCUGACUUCAUUUUAUUUGAAAAUACAUAAAUUAUAUGUAUUUAAAAAAUAUUAUUAUAUUUUCUUCCUUUUAGUAAAAUUUCAUUCAGUCCCAAUAUAUAUUUUUGAAUUAUUCUCAGCCCGAUAUUAAUCGGCCAAUUAUUAAUCGAACCUCGCUAGAUAGCCAAGUUCGAUUUUGUAGUUAAUAGGCAUCCCUUAACCUCAAUAUGUAGUUGAGGUAGGAACCUUGUGCUCACAUCUUUUCGAUGUGGGACAAGUUUACCUUAUUAUGAAAAUAAAUAGCAUACAAGCUUGAGUGCUUUAUAGAGGAGUAUAGGUGGACCCUUAAUUAACUUGUCAAUGUGGGACAUUUUCAUCCUUGUUUCAUGACUUUCAUGUCUAUUUACAUUACUUGAACUUUUUGUUAGUAAACAGACUUGAACUCCAUCGGACAAAUAUUUUUUUCUUUGAAAUAUUUUAUAGAACUUAAGAUAGGUUCUAAGCUCACUUCCUCAUUUUGGGAAGGAGUGAGUUCCUCUUAAUCUCUUAACUAAAUAACUUAUGGGUAUUAUAUAGAGUUGAGAAGGAGGUCUAUUCUAAACCUUCUCGAUGUGGGACAAUAAAAAUUGUCCAAAAUUAAACCAACAAGUCCUAGUUGGUUCAUAUUAUUUUUAAUAUGGGCUUGAUGGCCCUAAGAUAUAUUAUAGAGAAAGAGAUGAUGAUCUCUUGUAUCAUCUCGAUGUGGGACUAAUAUUGUCCAAUGCCAAGAAGUUGUCUUACUUGGUUAUUUUCUUGGUUUGUUUUAGUAUUGGUUCCAUAACCUUGUUAUAUAGGAAAAGAGAUGGCACAUCUCUAAUACCUCUUCAAUGUGGGACUUUGUCAAGUCUUGGUAAACUUAAAGCUUUUUCUUGUACUUGCUUAUGAGAAAUUUAUGUAUUUCUCUUUGUAUUAAAAUUUUAAAAACUAAUUUAAUUGGCGAUAUUUAAGCCAAGAAAAGUUGUGAACUUUCUUGAGCAGGUGUUGAACUUUCUUAAGUGAAGAAAAGAGCUAAGCAAGGUUUUUAUAGAUGUUGGAGGGGAGCCAACUCCUAUAUCUAAUCAAUGUGGGAGGUUUGUAACUUGUAUAGUAAAUAAGCAACUCUCAACCCACAUUGGGAAGAGAAAAGAAGAAAUUUGAGAAUAUAUAGUACAAGCCAAGCUAUGGGCAAUAAAAAGAAAACUUGCCGAUCUUAGCAAGGCAUGCAUUAUUUAUUAAUACUUUGGCACCCGGUGCCUAGCUAUCCUCCCUUGAACUCCUUUUAGUUUUAUUCUUUGUCCUUGUACCACAUCGAGAACAUGAUAUCAUGUUCUCCUGAAUAUAAGCAAUGAUCUAAAUUUUAACAUAGAAAUAAGACAAGAGAAGCAGGGGCAAGCACCACCCCUGUCGGCAGGGACGAGCGCCACCCCGACGCCAAGUUCCACGAGUUACCCUCGUUGCGCACAAAUUGUUCGCCAACAUUUUCUUAAAAAUUAGAUUCACCGUACCACAUCGAGAAGGAUUGGGAAAUUUUCCCACUUUCCUUAUAUAAAUACACCAUCCUAGUUGGCUUUCCUAAAUAGGAAGCUUAAGACUUCUACUUUGUAAGUCCUCGUACUUAAUUCUUCAUUAUUUAUUUAAUUUAUUAAUUUAUUAAUUAUUAAUUUAUAUUAUUAUUUAUAUUUGUGCGUGGUUAGUUAAUUUCAAUUAGCUAGUAGAGUUGUAAUUAGUAGCUUUUAGCUUAUUAAUCAAAAAUUGUGAUUAAUAUUGUUAGGACGGGAUUAAUAAUAUCGAGGUUCGAGAUCGAGAAAGAAUUUAAAUUUUAGAAGCGAAUUAAGGUAAGUAUAUACUGUACUUAUUCGCUGUUGAUGUUUUUAAUAUUAAAAUGAUGAUUUGAUUUUGGAAUGGUAUUUUAUUGAUGAAAAACGAGUAUUCUUGCAUUGAUAUUUGAUGAACUGAUGAUGAUGCUUCCUUAUUGGAAGUAAAGCUAAACCGAUUGUUUAGCUGGCCGGGAUCCCAACUUGACGAAUUGAUGAAUUAAUCAUGCUUGAAUACUCGGUUUUAAUCUUAUGUGAACUAUUUUGCUGUGAUGAACCUUUGAUGAUAUUGAUAAAUUCUUGAUGAUUAUUUUAUCAAAAGAUUGUUUUAGUUCUUAGAUAAACCUCAGUUGAAUCGUACAAUAUAUGCUUACUGAGCUUUAUAGCUCACUCUUUUAUGUCACUAACUUUCUCAGGAAAGAAUUUUGGAGAAGGAUGUUCUGGAAAGGAUAAGAAUGU